Molecule: small RNA, 31 nt
Filed under: Plasmodium falciparum 3D7
Lineage: Eukaryota; Apicomplexa; Aconoidasida; Haemosporida; Plasmodiidae
Description: Pfa-raR6329a
Source: RNAcentral
GACUGAUCUCUACAAUCCGUAGAGUUACUGG